Molecule: ribosomal RNA, 365 nt
Filed under: uncultured eukaryote
Lineage: Eukaryota
Description: partial 18S ribosomal RNA
Rfam family: Eukaryotic small subunit ribosomal RNA
Source: RNAcentral
CAAUAGCGUAUAUUUAAGUUGUUGCAGUUAAAAAGCUCGUAGUCGGAUUUUGGCUGAGAACGAUCGGUCCGCCGUUAGGUGUGCACUGAUUUGUCUCAGCUUCCUGGUGAGGAGGUGUGCUUCACGGCCACUUAGUCACCGUGGUUACUUUGAAAAAAUUAGAGUGUUCAAAGCGGGCUUACGCUUGAAUAUAUUAGCAUGGAAUAACACCAUAGGACUCCUGUCCUAUUUCGUUGGUCUCGGGACGGGAGUAAUGAUUAAGAGGAACAGUUGGGGGCAUUCGUAUUUCAUUGUCAGAGGUGAAAUUCUUGGAUUUAUGAAAGACGAACUUCUGCGAAAGCAUUUGCCAAGGAUGUUUUCAUUGA